CCUACGGGGGGCAGUAGUGAGGAAUAUUGGUCAAUGGACGAGAGUCUGAACCAGCCAAGUAGCGUGAAGGAUGACUGCCCUAUGGGUUGUAAACUUCUUUUAUAUGGGAAUAAAAUGUUCCACGUGUGGGAUUUUGUAUGUACCAUAUGAAUAAGGAUCGGCUAACUCCGUGCCAGCAGCCGCGGUAAUACGGAGGAUCCGAGCGUUAUCCGGAUUUAUUGGGUUUAAAGGGAGCGUAGGUGGAUUGUUAAGUCAGUUGUGAAAGUUUGCGGCUCAACCGUAAAAUUGCAGUUGAAACUGGCAGUCUUGAGUACAGUAGAGGUGGGCGGAAUUCGUGGUGUAGCGGUGAAAUGCUUAGAUAUCACGAAGAACUCCGAUUGCGAAGGCAGUUCACUGGACUGCAACUGACACUGAGGCUCGAAAGUGUGGGUAUCAAACAGGAUUAGAUACCCGGGUAGUC
Molecule: ribosomal RNA, 460 nt
Filed under: uncultured bacterium
Lineage: Bacteria
Description: partial 16S ribosomal RNA
Rfam family: Bacterial small subunit ribosomal RNA
Source: RNAcentral